CCGAAUUUCGAAUAUGAUUGUAACACU
RNAcentral lists this small RNA (27 nucleotides) under Arabidopsis thaliana (thale cress). Its description in RNAcentral is "ATSL049550". The record is from RNAcentral. Lineage: Eukaryota; Viridiplantae; Streptophyta; Magnoliopsida; Brassicales; Brassicaceae.